Long non-coding RNA from Sapajus apella (tufted capuchin), 2320 nucleotides. RefSeq lists it as uncharacterized. The transcript has 3 exons. NCBI's taxonomy places the organism in Eukaryota, Metazoa, Chordata, Mammalia, Primates, Cebidae. The record is from RefSeq and is a predicted model, not a curated record.
GUAGCUGGGAUUACAGAUGUGUGCCACCACGGCCGCGUAAUUUUCUGGUGUAUUUUUAGUAGAGAUGGGGUUUCACCAUGUUGGUCAGGCUGGUCUCAAACUCCUGACCUCAAGUGAUCUGCCCACCUCGUCCUCCCAAAGUCCUGGGAUUACAGGUGUAAGCCACCACACCUGGUCUCUGAGGUCCUUUUCUAAUGGGAGAUCUGUAAGCAUCAUUUCAAGCUUUUCUAUGAAAAUUGGUGUAUUUAAAUUUUCCUUUAAAGUCCAUUUUGUUAACAUGUAUUUUUACUAUGAAAUCGCCCAUUUUCCCAAGGUUUCCAGUUUGAUUCAAAAAAUUUCUCUUGACUUCUAAUUUAUCUCUUUCUAGUCUUCAACAGAAUUCUUAAUCCUAUGUAUCUGUUUCCAUCAAUAAUAUUUUAAAAAUAUACUUCUUAGUUUAGCUUUUCAAUUGAGAGAAUUGUUAUAUUUGACAAUUUCUCAUGACCCAAUGACAAUCUUUAAUGAUUUUAAAUUAAUUUCUACCUAAUACAGUACCUCUUGCAGGACCCCGCUGUCAGUGGUAUUGUUACUGACCAGAGUUUCUUGGCUCUCCAGUAACAGAAAUUGAGAUGAGGCUGAGCAAGUUUCCCAGACAAAGCUUUUGUUUAAGUGUUUUGUUUAGCUUGGUUAAAUUUAUUCCACAAAGCUUUUAUUUUUGUGUUUUAUAUUCAAACACAAGGGAGGCAGCAGAAGAGAGAAUUCUGUCUGGCUCCCUGAAGAGAUUCAGGAGGGGAGUGUUUUUAAGGUUUGGCUCUGUUGCCCAGCCUGGAGUUUAGUGGCACCAUCUUGGCUCAGUGCAUCCUCCUGGCCUCAAGCCAUCUUCCCACCUCAGCCCCCCGAGUAGCUGGGACUACAGGCAUGAACCACCACACUCAGCCCAGCAUGUUAUUAAGUUUCAGUAAUUAGUCUUGCCAUUUGUUUUUCAUUCAACACUGAGAUUUUGUUUUUCUUUACUAAUUAUCUCAUAUAUGGACUUUUGUUCUAUUAAACUAUUUAUUUGAUGUACAAAUUGAGGGUGAUUCUUGCAGAUUAUCUAGCAAAUAAAUACAUUUUUGUUUUUAGAAAAACCACAAUGUUAACUUGUUAGAUAUCACAACUGCUAUGACUUUAAGGAUUUGGCUGGACAGUGUCUUAGACAUAUUUGAUAAGGGUGGACAUUGGGUAAAUGGUUUGGGGGAACAUGAGAGCAGAUGAGACUGUAGGCAGAUGAGACUGAAUCCAAAUGGAAAGAGACAUUUUUUUUCUCCCAGUUGGGGCAGGCAGUGAAGUGAAAUGGGUCUGUGGAUUGGACUGUCAGGUAGAAACCUUGUAUUUCUUUGGAGGCUGUCUUUCUUUGGUUAAAUACAUUGGAGUAUUUUCUGUGGAGUUGCAGUAACUGCUGGGGAAUCUUUAAGAGAAGAGAUGUUACACUUUACACUGCUAUUGCAAGAUUCCUAGAAAUAUGAAAUUACUGGAAAAGAAAUUAUAAACAACCACAUCAAUGCCAUGUCAGUAAAGCAGAGACAACAUCAAACUUCAUUAUAGAGGCCAAACCCCAUCCAAAUCCAGGUCAGUGGAAGCUGUGUACCAAGAGCCCUGGUGAGAAUCUCGAUGCUAUAUCAAUAUUGUAGCUGUCAUAUCAGCCUUACGGUGUCAUCAGUAUUACAGGUGUCAUAUGAGUCUUAGGGGUGUGUUAGCAGUAUUGUGGGUGUCAUAUCAGUAUUGUGUGUAUCAUAUUUGUAUUGCAGGUGUCAUAUUGGUGUUAUAGGUGUCAUAUCAGUAUUGUGGGUGUCCCAUCAGUCUUAUGGGGAUCAUAUCACUAUUGUGGGUGUCACAUCAGUCUUAUGGGCAUCAUAUCAGUCUUACGGGUGUCAUAUCUGAAUCUCAGGAGUGUCAUAUGAAUUUUGUGGUGCCAUGUCAGUCUUAUGGAUGUCAUAUCAGGUAUUACAGGUGUCACAUCAGUCUUAUGGGGGGGGUCAUAGCAGUCUUGCAGGUAUCAUCAGUAUUGUGGGUGUCACAUCAGUCUUACAGGUGUCACAGCAGUCUUGUGGGUGUCAUAUCAGUAUUAUGAUAUGCCAUGAUAUGUCAUACCAGUAUGACAUGUUUUCUAAAAAUACCCUCACAGACAUACCUAGACAUAGUGCUUUAAUAGCUGUGUAUCCCUUAAUCCAGUAAAGUUUACACCUAAAAUUAACCAUCACAGGCCAGGAGCAGUGGCUCAUGCCUGUAAUCCUAGCACUUUGGGAGGCCAAGGUGGGUGGAUUACGAGGUCAGGAGUUUGAGACCACCCUGGCCAACAUGA